Molecule: ribosomal RNA, 256 nt
Filed under: uncultured bacterium
Lineage: Bacteria
Description: partial small subunit ribosomal RNA
Rfam family: Bacterial small subunit ribosomal RNA
Source: RNAcentral
AGGACGAACGCUGGCGGCGUGCUUAACACAUGCAAGUCGAGCGGAAAGGCCCUUCGGGGUACUCGAGCGGCGAACGGGUGAGUAACACGUGAGUAAUCUGCCCCUAGCUCUGGGAUAGCUCCGGGAAAACCCGGGAUUAAUACCAGAUACAACCACUUUAGACAUCUCUUGUGGUGGAAAGAAUUUCGGCUAGGGAUGAACUCGCGGCCUAUCAGCUUGUUGGUGAGGUAACGGCUCACCAAGGCGACGACGGGUA